This 1555-nucleotide long non-coding RNA is filed under the name Setaria italica (foxtail millet). RNAcentral describes it as "long non-coding RNA (SITA_LNC005641)". Lineage: Eukaryota; Viridiplantae; Streptophyta; Magnoliopsida; Poales; Poaceae. The record is from RNAcentral.
AAUGCUAGACAUUAUGAAGCAUAAAGGUUUUGGAUCAUGAUGGAUCACAUGGAUGAAACAAAUCUUCUCUUCAGGGACCUCUUCUAUCUUACUGAAUGGAGUUCCAGGAAAAAGAUUUUCUUGUAAAAGGGGAGUUAGACAGGGAGAUCCUCUAUCUCCACUUCUUUUUGUUCUUGGGGCAGAUCUGCUACAGUCAGUCCUCAACAAUGCGAAGGAACAGGGACAUCUGCAACUACCAAUUCAGAUUAAUCAUAAUCAGGACUUUCCAAUUAUACAAUAUGCUGAUGACACUCUUAUUAUUAUGGAUGGAUGCCCAUUGCAACUGCUUCACCUGAAAAACCUUUUACAGUCCUUUGCCACCUCAACUGGGCUUAAGGUAAACUUCAACAAAUCCAUGAUGGUGCCAAUCAAUAUCUCAGAGGAAAGGAUACAACAGUUAGCUCAGACUUUUGGCUGCUCAAUAGGGAAAAUGCCCUUCACAUACUUAGGACUACCACUGGGUUUGACAAAGCCAAGAUUUGAGGAAUUUCUCCCUAUGGUGAGUCGGUGUGAAAGAAGAUUAUUGUCCACUUCAAAUCUACUUUCUAAAGCGGGGAGAUUACAACUAACAAAUUCAAUUUUCUCUGCCUUGCCGAUGUUUCAUAUGAGUACCUUACUGCUACCUAAGUCAGUAUAUAAACAAGUGAAUAAAUAUAGAAAGCACUGUUUUUGGAGAGGCUCGGAUAUCAAUAACAAAAAACCGCCUAAAGCUGCAUGGGACAUGGUGACUUUACCAAAAAAGGAAGGUGGUCUAGGUGUUCUGAAUUUGCAGACACAAAAUGAAGCUCUGCUGCUCAAAUUCUUACAUAAAUUUUAUAAUAAAGCAGAUAUCCCGUGGGUCCAUCUAGUAUGGGAAAAAUACUAUAGAAAUGGUAAACUGCCAGGCUCUAUAUCUAAAGGCUCCUUCUGGUGGCGGGACAUCAUUAAACUCUUGGACAAAUUCAAAGGAAUAGCCUCAGUGUCUGUGAAGGAUAGCAGUACCUGCCUUUUAUGGCAUGAUCUAUGGAAUAAUCAGGUGCCAGCACAAGUGUACCCACAUCUGUUUUCUUUUACUCGGGAUAAACACUUAUCUUUGAAGCGAGCUUACUCGAUCACGGACUUGCAGCAUCUCUUCUUCCUGCCCUUGACGUCACAAGCCUAUAAUCAAUUGGUUCAUCUUGCUGAAGACCUAGAAAGUUUAGACCUCUCGACUGAUCCAGACUCUUGGAUAUAUAUCUGGGGUAAUGCAAUUUUCUCUUCAUCAAAGGCAUAUAAGUCUCUCAUUGGACAUAGAAACACUCAUCCAGUAUAUGAUUGGCUAUGGAAGUCCCGGUGUCAAAAGAAACACAAAGUCUUCUUUUGGUUGGUUUUGAAAGAUAGACUUAGUACACGGGAUAUCAUGCGGCGCAAACAUAUGGUUAUGCCCUCAUAUAACUGUGUCCUCUACUCCCACAACAAAAUUGAGACACUCUUCCACCUCCUGCUUGAAUGCCCUUUUGCUCAAGAAUGUUGGAUUCAUCUAGGCCUUUAUGCCGAC